This is a long non-coding RNA of Solanum tuberosum (potato), 2410 nucleotides long. RefSeq lists it as uncharacterized. NCBI's taxonomy places the organism in Eukaryota, Viridiplantae, Streptophyta, Magnoliopsida, Solanales, Solanaceae. The record is from RefSeq and is a predicted model, not a curated record. The transcript has 2 exons.
AAUACUUUCAUUCACUCAUCCUCUCCCUCUCUCUAGCAGCCGCCUCUCAACUCUCCUCUCCAUUUUUUCCGGCGAAAAUUGCCACCACCUGCUGGUGGCAGCCGUUUCUCUCUCCCUCUCUUCGUUGCUCUCUUCUCCUUCCCUCUCCUCCCUUCUUCUCCAUCUCAUCUUUCUCAUUUCUCCUCCCUUCCGGCGAGAAACAGCAGCAGAAGCUGCCAGCAACACUGGCAGCAGCAGCAACCAGCAAGGGCAGCGCCGGCGUGGACAGCAGCUCCGACCAGCAACCAGCAGCGCCAGUAGCAGCUGCAACCAGCGAACUCCAGCAGCUCCAGACAGCAGCCAGGCGAACCACCUGAGUGAUGACGAAGACGACAACAACUCCAAGGCAGCUGCCGGCGAAACAGCAACAACAGUCCGACCAAGCGAGCUCCGGCGAAAUCCGAAAUUAGGAUCGGUGGAAGACGGAUCUCAACAGAUCCGUCUCGGUAUUUUCUUUCGAUCAAUUAUUACUUCAUCUAUUUAACCCUAUGUUGUUCCUACUUUUUAAAUUAUAUUUUUCAUAUGAUUGCUUUUAUGUGCUUGAUGCUUGAAUGAUAGGAAUUCGUUCCGUUGUAUGCAUAAACUUUUGGGUUGACAGCUUAUUGAACCUAUGCUGGUUCUGAACUCAAGUUCAAGAAUGAAAAGUCGCUUAAGGCGGGAUACCGGAUAGAACUUAUUUCUGUUUAAUAGUUUACUUUGGAUUAUAUUAUGUCGUUACUAUUUGCUUUUGUUCGGUUUGUAAUAUUUUGUAUAACUCUCUAAACUCUCCUAUAUAUGAAUAAUUUGGGGGAUCGUCUAAGGGGGAGGGGGAUAUACGUGCUAAUUGUUUUCUUUUCAUUUCUAGUCUAGUUUAUUUUUUGCUAUGUGUGAUUGCUAAAACAUGCCUACGUUGCUUAAAUCGUAAACCUUGCAAGCAUAUUAGAAUAUAUUUUAAUAUUGACCUAAAAUUAACCUUUGUUCAUAACCUUUUCAGAUUAAUCGACAUAUCAUGAAUAUAUGUUCAAAUUUGCUUGAUCUUGAACUCGUAGAAUCUUGUCAGACAUGCUAAUGUUGUUCAAAUUCGAAAUUUGGUUUAUACUACUUAGACAUCAUGCUUCUAGGACUUUAAUAUAAUUUGAGCAAAUCAGUUUGGUCAUGUUGCUAACAUGUUAACCUAUUUGGAAUUAAGUCACGAUUAAUGUCAUGCCAAUAAAAUGUCCAGAAAUACAUAAAUCAUGUUUGCCAUAAAGUUCCGCCUAAAGUGUUUAAUAAUCUGUCUAAAUGAAAUAGAUAUCAUGCCUAUAGGAUCUAAAUAAUUUUAGAAGUGCAGUAUGUAUGCAUAUAGAUGUAAAUUUUGUUACAUAUUAAUUAAAUAUCAUGCCUACAUGGUUAACAAUUUGUUUAAAUGAAAUGGAUAUUAUGCUUAUGGGUUUGACAAUAUUUUCAGCAUAUUCACACUUAGAAAUCACGCCUAUAGGACAUAAUUAACAAGUUGAGAUGUUAAUCAGCAUAUUAUUAAAUAAAAGGAGAGAAAUCCUGUUUCAUUUUAAAAAUUAUUAUCUACUGCCUAGAUUGAAUCUGGCUCAAACCAAUUAGAUUCUGCUCUGUUUAGGUACUGAAAAUCAGCUACUAAAAAGUCAUUUUUCUGCAUCUGCUACUUGCUAUCCCGAUUAAAUUUUGUUCAAACUAAUCUCUGCACUGUUUUGCCACUUAAAAUAAAUUAAAUCAGUUUCUGCAUAUUAAUCAAUGACAUUCUGCCACUGGCUCAUCUAAAGACUUUAAAUCUGCUACUGCUUAAACUAUUUCCCGCAUCCUAAUCAUUGUUAUGCCACUCUUUUAAAUCAUUAAAUCUUUUGCACUUGUAUCAAUUUUCCGCCCCUUUAAAAUUCAUAAAAUAAAUCGUUAUAAUUAUGUUGUCAAUACAUGUUUGUAUGCACACACACUUAGCAUGAUUCCUUUCACAUUACUUGUGUUUGUUAGCAUGUUUAAUAAAAUCUAGAGGCUAACAUGAGACUCUAUGUGCUAAAUGCUCGUCCAAAUUGUUUGACUUGGUGUCUAGAUGGGCCUAUUAUAUUUCUUUUUAGUCUAUACCCACCCUAAUAGUAGUCCAAUGCCUCUUGGACCUUAAGCGGGGACGAUAGGCACCUUGUAGAGACGUUAAGCAUGCGGUGGUAGGGUAGGGGUAGUCUAGGCCCUAUGGAUAUGAUGACAUCGACUCGGUCUAAAUGACAAACCUUGGUUUUGUCUGUCCCUACGAGAAGCCGACCGAAAUAAAGAAAAGUCGAGUACUGAUCCUAAAGUCCUUCAGCGUCUCCCUUUCCUUUUGUCCCUUUAUCUGUUUAUAAUUAUAUUUAUUUGGGGUAGUUUAAUUAAAAUAAAGUUGGUUUGCUUA